This 589-nucleotide ribosomal RNA is filed under the name uncultured bacterium. Its description in RNAcentral is "bacterial SSU rRNA". It matches the Rfam family "Bacterial small subunit ribosomal RNA", at positions 785 to 1375 of the family's 1533-position model. The record is from RNAcentral.
CCCCGGUAGUCCACGCUGUAAACGAUGUCUACUAGCCGUUGGAGGACUUGAUCCUUUAGUGGCGCAGCUAACGCGAUAAGUAGACCGCCUGGGGAGUACGGUCGCAAGAUUAAAACUCAAAUGAAUUGACGGGGGCCCGCACAAGCGGUGGAGCAUGUGGUUUAAUUCGAAGCAACGCGAAGAACCUUACCUACUCUUGACAUCCAGUGAACUUUUGAGAGAUCAAUUGGUGCCUUCGGGAACACUGAGACAGGUGCUGCAUGGCUGUCGUCAGCUCGUGUUGUGAAAUGUUGGGUUAAGUCCCGUAACGAGCGCAACCCUUGUCCUUAGUUACCAUCAUUAAGUUGGGGACUCUAAGGAGACUGCCGGUGACAAACCGGAGGAAGGCGGGGACGACGUCAAGUCAUCAUGGCCCUUACGAGUAGGGCUACACACGUGCUACAAUGGCAUGUACAAAGGGUUGCCAAGCCGCGAGGUGGAGCUAAUCCCAUAAAGCAUGUCGUAGUCCGGAUUGGAGUCUGCAACUCGACUCCAUGAAGUCGGAAUCGCUAGUAAUCGUGAAUCAGAAUGUCACGGUGAAUACGUUCCC